Molecule: ribosomal RNA, 238 nt
Filed under: uncultured bacterium
Lineage: Bacteria
Description: partial 16S ribosomal RNA
Rfam family: Bacterial small subunit ribosomal RNA
Source: RNAcentral
UAGAGCAAAUCUCAAAAAAACAAUCUCAGUUCAGACUGCAGGCUGCAACUCGCCUGCACGAAGUCGGAAUUGCUAGUAAUCGUAGGUCAGCAUACUACGGUGAAUACGUUCCCGGGCCUUGUACACACCGCCCGUCAAACCAUGAGAGUUGGCAACACCCGAAGUCGGUAGUCUAACCGCAAGGAGGACGCCGCCGAAGGUGGGGUUGAUGAUUAGGGUUAAGUCGUAACAAGGUACC